Non-coding RNA from Dermacentor andersoni, 207 nucleotides. Lineage: Eukaryota; Metazoa; Arthropoda; Arachnida; Ixodida; Ixodidae. The record is from RefSeq and is a predicted model, not a curated record.
AGAAAACCACAAAAUAACGGUUAUCUACUUACGAAAGCCGGCGGAAAUCUCCAGAGCAUCGGUCAAGCAAAUUUCCUACUUGUGAGAAGCAAGCAAUGAUAACUACGUUCCUUUUCGCGUUGGCCUGUAUUUCUGCAUCGGCCCAAAAUGUCAGUAGCUCAACUGAAGGACCAGUCACCAGUAGCACUGGGCCCACUCCUGGAAUAG